AGCUGAAAUAACUUUUUAGAACCUUGUGCCUAGAUAAAAAAUUUAUACUGUAACAUAUCUGCCUUAAUUAGUGUUUUAGUUUGAUAGUUACAGUUUGUAAUGUACAUUUAUUUAAAGAUCUCUUUAAUCUAGUUUAAAGACUUUAAAAAAAGGAUACAUCUACGUGGUUUAUGUGUUUAUUAUAACAUCUCUUCUUUAUUGUGCUGCCAUUAUCUAGGUUCUCCACUGAGUUAGGCUGCUCUUGAAAUACAUGCCUUGACAGUUGGAAUACUUCCAGUGUCUCACUGGAUCCUAAGAUUUUAAAGCAAAUCAAGCCACACUUACUAAGGACUUCAACCUUGGUGUUGCUUGUGUACCUGCACAUCCUCCACGUUCUACCUUUAAGCUACACUAGUACAGGUUUUAGAAAACAUAUACUGUAAGCAACAUGGAAGAAUUUGAGGAAAGCAUCAUAUGCUUUUUGUCCUAUUCUCCCUGGUCUCCAUCCCAGAAUGAACAAUGCAAAAAAAAAUGAAGCUGAAUAUGACAAAUCUGGAGCAGAAUAUGAAGCUUGUACAUGUGCAUGCAAUCUGCCUUGGAGAAGCUGGGUGUUCAUUUCAAAAGACUGUGGGAUUCCUCGAAGAAAGGAACACUAACAGAAAUACUUUUCCACACUAGUGGCCGUCACCUUUGUUUUAAUACUUAGGUCCCGGAUAUGGCAAAACCCAGACACUUCUACUGCUUUCCUGCCUAACGUUUAGCAAAAGCAAAUCUUGCUGCCUUCCCAAUCUUGCUUCCUUUCCAGUC
Molecule: long non-coding RNA, 786 nt
Filed under: Camarhynchus parvulus
Lineage: Eukaryota; Metazoa; Chordata; Aves; Passeriformes; Thraupidae
Description: lncRNA (ENSCPVG00000017544.1)
Source: RNAcentral